UACGGAGGGUGCGAGCGUUGUCCGGAAUUAUUGGGCGUAAAGGGCGCGUAGGCGGUGCGGUAAGUCACCUGUGAAAUCUCCUGGCUCAACUGGGAGUCUGCAGGCGAAACUGCCGUGCUGGAGUAUGGGAGAGGUGCGUGGAAUUCCUGGUGUAGCGGUGAAAUGCGUAGAUAUCAGGAGGAACACCUGUGGCGAAAGCGGCGCACUGGACCAUAACUGACGCUGAGGCGCGAAAGCUAGGGGAGCAAACAGG
This 253-nucleotide ribosomal RNA is filed under the name uncultured bacterium. Its description in RNAcentral is "partial 16S ribosomal RNA". It matches the Rfam family "Bacterial small subunit ribosomal RNA", at positions 524 to 776 of the family's 1533-position model. The record is from RNAcentral.